RNAcentral lists this ribosomal RNA (680 nucleotides) under uncultured Veillonellaceae bacterium. RNAcentral's name for it is "bacterial SSU rRNA". It matches the Rfam family "Bacterial small subunit ribosomal RNA", at positions 1 to 655 of the family's 1533-position model. Lineage: Bacteria; Bacillati; Bacillota; Negativicutes; Veillonellales; Veillonellaceae. The record is from RNAcentral.
CCCUAGUGAUUAGAGUUGAUCAUGCUCAGACGAACGCUGGCGGCGUCCUAACACAUGCAAGUCGAACGGGUGACGAGAAAGCUUGCUUUUUUGAACCUAGUGGCGAACGGGUGAGUAACGCGUAACCAACCUACCUUUAGGACGGGGACAACAGACGGAAACGACUGCUAAUACCGGAUAGACUCUCGAAUCGAGUGAGACGAAGAGGAAAGGUGGCCUCUCGAAGAAGCUACCGCCUAAAGAGGGGUUUGCGUCUGAUUAGUUAGUUGGUGGGGUAACGGCCUACCAAGGCGAUGAUCAGUAGCCGGUCUGAGAGGAUGAACGGCCACACUGGAACUGAGACACGGUCCAGACUCCUACGGGAGGCAGCAGUGGGGAAUCUUCCGCAAUGGACGAAAGUCUGACGGAGCAACGCCGCGUGAGUGAAGAAGGCCUUCGGGUUGUAAAGCUCUGUUAUUCGGGAAGAAAGGAUACGCUGUGAAUAAUGGUGUAUAUUGACGGUACCGGAAGAGAAAGCCACGGCUAACUACGUGCCAGCAGCCGCGGUAAUACGUAGGUGGCAAGCGUUGUCCGGAAUUAUUGGGCGUAAAGAGCGCGUAGGCGGUCAUUUAAGUCAGUCUUAAAAGUGCGGGGCUUAACCCCGUGAUGGGAUUGAAACUGGGUGACUAGAGAUCGGAGAG